AGAAAAGAGAAAAAAGACUCAUGGUCAAAGAGAAAAAGAAGUCAAAAUCAAGGUGUUCAAGCAGGCAGUUGAGCGUGGACCAAGCCACGCUAAGUUGACCUGGACACCAGCUUGACCUGGACACUAGCCUGACCUGGACUAAUCUGCUCAAGCAAGCAGCUGAGCGGACCUGCUUGGCCGCUCAGCCUAGCACCAGAGUGAUCCUAACACGGUCAGAACUCAAGCUUGGCACAGUCAGACACAAGCCUGGCACGCGCCCAAGCUGCUCAACAAGUAGCUCAGCAGUGACACAUGUGUGCUCAGCGGUGAACCAGACUUCUUCCCAGGUCAGCAAGCACCAAGCUACGUCUCAGUCAGCACGGUCAAAGUUUCCCAACAAGAAGCUUAGCGGUGCCACAGGUGUGCUAAGCGGUGUGCACCCAGACUUGACUUAUCCAUCAAGCAAACCAUGAAGUCACCAAUGACAUCACUUCAAGUAGCCCACCAUAGGCUUUUCAGAGUAGCUCGCCAUAGCUGGUCCCAUAGCUCACAACUAGCUUUGGUGAGUCAAGCUUAAGGAGGUGACAAAGCUGCUUGAUCAAGUGACCAAACCCAUGCUGAAGGGUGUGGUCAGCUGCUGAGCGGUGCAAACAAGCAGCUCAGUGGCUCCAAGGAAAUUUCUAUAAAUAGGAGGCAUUUCAUUCGAAUCAAGAGACAUCAUACAUCAUUCACCAUCUUGCCUUGAAUUUCUUCUUCCCAGAAGUUCUCUCUUCUUGUUCUUAGUUCAUAGGAGCUUUGUUUAAGUAAGUUUUGUAAUUUUACUUUAUAAUUCAAGAGGAGAAAAGGAUAAGGCAAAUGAGAUGCAAAAAUGAAUUUUGCAAUCUCAUUUAGAACUGAAAGCACCCAAUCCUUGGAUGGAUGACUCAUGCUCUUAACAAUUUCUUUUGAAUGUGGUUAUGUAUUUCUA
RNAcentral lists this long non-coding RNA (946 nucleotides) under Lupinus angustifolius (narrow-leaved blue lupine). RNAcentral's name for it is "long non-coding RNA (LANG_LNC000633)". Lineage: Eukaryota; Viridiplantae; Streptophyta; Magnoliopsida; Fabales; Fabaceae. The record is from RNAcentral.